Molecule: transfer RNA, 57 nt
Filed under: Bos taurus (domestic cattle)
Lineage: Eukaryota; Metazoa; Chordata; Mammalia; Artiodactyla; Bovidae
Also listed under: 5 other names
Rfam family: tRNA
About the family: Transfer RNA (tRNA) molecules are approximately 80 nucleotides in length. Their secondary structure includes four short double-helical elements and three loops (D, anti-codon, and T loops).
Source: Rfam by way of RNAcentral
UGGCUCAGUCGGUAAAGCAUUUGCCUGCAAUGCAGGAGACCUGGGUUUGAUUCCUGG